RNAcentral lists this ribosomal RNA (912 nucleotides) under Paraphoma fimeti. Its description in RNAcentral is "LSU rRNA". It matches the Rfam family "Eukaryotic large subunit ribosomal RNA", at positions 35 to 966 of the family's 3401-position model. Lineage: Eukaryota; Fungi; Ascomycota; Dothideomycetes; Pleosporales; Phaeosphaeriaceae. The record is from RNAcentral.
UAAGCAUAUCAAUAAGCGGAGGAAAAGAAACCAACAGGGAUUGCCCUAGUAACGGCGAGUGAAGCGGCAACAGCUCAAAUUUGAAAUCUGGCUCUUUCAGAGUCCGAGUUGUAAUUUGCAGAGGGCGCUUUGGAGUUGGCAGCGGUCCAAGUUCCUUGGAACAGGACGUCACAGAGGGUGAGAAUCCCGUACGUGGUCGCUAGCCUUCGCCGUGUAAAGCCCCUUCGACGAGUCGAGUUGUUUGGGAAUGCAGCUCUAAAUGGGAGGUAAAUUUCUUCUAAAGCUAAAUACUGGCCAGAGACCGAUAGCGCACAAGUAGAGUGAUCGAAAGAUGAAAAGCACUUUGGAAAGAGAGUCAAAUAGCACGUGAAAUUGUUGAAAGGGAAGCGCUUGCAGCCAGACUUGCCUGUAGUUGCUUAUCCGGACUCUUGUCCGGUGCACUCUUCUAUAGGCAGGCCAGCAUCAGUUUGGGCGGUUGGAUAAAGGUCUCUGUCACGUACCUCUCUUCGGGGAGGCCUUAUAGGGGAGACGACAUGCAACCAGCCUGGACUGAGGUCCGCGCAUCUGCUAGGAUGCUGGCGUAAUGGCUGUAAGCGGCCCGUCUUGAAACACGGACCAAGGAGUCUAACAUCUAUGCGAGUGUUUGGGUGUCAAGCCCAGACGCGUAAUGAAAGUGAACGGAGGUGGGAACCCUUUGGGUGCACCAUCGACCGAUCCUGAUGUCUUCGGAUGGAUUUGAGUAAGAGCAUGGCUGUUGGGACCCGAAAGAUGGUGAACUAUGCUUGAAUAGGGUGAAGCCAGAGGAAACUCUGGUGGAGGCUCGCAGCGGUUCUGACGUGCAAAUCGAUCGUCAAAUUUGGGCAUAGGGGCGAAAGACUAAUCGAACUAUCUAGUAGCUGGUUCCUGCCGAAU